GUACUGUAGACCUUCAAUAAUAAAACAAACAUUUGAUGCAAAGCUAACUAAGGAACAGUGAUCAUACAUACAUACAUAUGUGGAAUUCUGUAUGAUAAGUUAAGUCAAAAUCGCUUACCUCUCUCUCUCUGUCUUGUCAACAUUAGAAGGUUAAAAGAAUAUGACCCUCUGCAAGUGUAUACCUUACUCGUAAAAAGAAGGAAGCCGGCACACUUCUGAGCGAAUAUUUAGCAAAUUAUUUUCUAUACAUUUUUAAUGUGCAAGAACCCUUCCACAGUACCCUUUUGUUGCGGUGCACAACUUGGUGUAGCCAUAUACAAAGACUUUGCUAUACUUUUUGUGACUGUCCCGAGGCGGGAAAAAGUAACAAAGUCAACAGCAAACUGUGGAAAAUGCUGGAGAAAACAAGGAAAAUGGCUUCACACGAAAAAGUUGUGGUGAUUUUCACACUUGCGGCAAGCGAAGUAAGAAAAUAAUUACAAACUUCAGGACAGGAGAGCAACAAUAAAGUAUUAAAUUCAAAUUAUUUACUUCACUUUAUUUUCCACGGCAGCACAAAAGCGCCACUGAGGAACGGCACCAAGAAACCAGAAGAAGUAAAAGGCAGAAAUAUACGAAGCCAAAAGCUACUUCUCCAAGUCAUUUUAAUUUAAGUUGUGCAACAUUUCAACACUUUAUCAAAUAAAUUCAGGAUGGCCCAAGGUAGUGAAAGAAGUGCAAAGACCAUGGAGUUAGUUUUACAGAGACAGAGAAAGUAAAGGAAGUUCGCUGAAAUUUUUAAAGUUUCAACUAUGCAAAUGGCCUGAACAUAUUUUGCAUUUUGUUAAUAAAUUGUAAAUUCAAAUUAGCAAUUGUCACUGGCCUAUGGCAGCGUACAGAAAUUUCGAUGCUUAAGACUCUCC
This 902-nucleotide long non-coding RNA is filed under the name Drosophila guanche. The record is from RNAcentral. Lineage: Eukaryota; Metazoa; Arthropoda; Insecta; Diptera; Drosophilidae.